UAGUUGAUAUCAGUCAUAUAAUAAAUAAUUUAACUCGAUAAUUAUGAAUUUAUCAAAUAAUUUUUAAUUUAUAGCGGUAACAUAUGAGUAACUAUAAAUAAUUUAAUUAUAUAACUAUGAGGUUAUCAAAUAACUUAUAAUGUAUAGCGGUAACAUAUGAUUUACAUAGUUAAUCAAAUAUAUAAUCACAAAAGUUACUACAUAACCAGA
This 210-nucleotide long non-coding RNA is filed under the name Capsella grandiflora. Its description in RNAcentral is "long non-coding RNA (CGRA_LNC000990)". The record is from RNAcentral. Lineage: Eukaryota; Viridiplantae; Streptophyta; Magnoliopsida; Brassicales; Brassicaceae.